Molecule: long non-coding RNA, 2278 nt
Filed under: Homo sapiens (human)
Lineage: Eukaryota; Metazoa; Chordata; Mammalia; Primates; Hominidae
Description: ARRDC3 antisense RNA 1
Source: RNAcentral
ACUCAAGGUAGACAGUGUGGCGACUGGAGAGGUCGGGGAACAAGCUUUGUUUCAGCUAAGGGGAAAACAAGCGUUCACAGGAGUCCCCUGACACCUCCCACUCGGAAGAUAGCUAACGGGGGUCCUGCCAACCCUUCCCAUCCAACUUCCAUCUGAAAAGGAUUUUCUGCUAAAGUUGGGUCCAUGGCCAUCCAGCACCUGUAAGGCCGGCAGGAGCGUCUGCCCUCUACUCAGUUAAAGCCUGAAGUCGUUUCCUUUCGAUGGCCCUUAGGAGGCCCAAAAGAGGGGCGACAGAACAUGAUGUUGACACGGGCUGGGCGCCCCCAGAAGCCCGGGAACAAACGUUUCUACUUUCCAGGUCCACUGGUGUUUGGUGUACCCAUGUGACUAAUUUGUCCAAAGAGAGGUGAGUGAAAGUGAUGUGUCACUUCCAGAUGGAAGCUUUUUGGGCAAGUAUGUAUUUUCUAGCUCUUUUCUUCUGUGUUAUAGAAACUAGGAAUAUUCCAGUUGGUGACUGACCCCUUAGUUGGGUUCCUAGAGUGAGUUUGAUGUGGAGGAGCCCAAAAUGACCUGCAGUGAAGUUGGAGUGUGAGCAAGAAAUAAACUUUUGUUUUUUAAUUUUCUGAGGUUUUGGAAGUUGUAGAUUAUAACUGCAUAACCUAUCAAUAUUGAUAUGUUUCAAUUCUUAAUGAAAAUUUCUAAUAUUCUUUUUGAUUAUUUCUAACUUAUUAACUUAAAAUGUCAAAUAUCUAUAAUUUCAGUAUAUUCUGUAUCCUACAUUUAAAAAUAAAAAAUAGAAUGUUGAAAAUGAAAUCAUUUCAAUGAGAUGACAACUCAAAAUCUUAUAGUAUCAUCCAGAAACAUGUAGAACAGAUUUAAAAAUACACAGUACUGAGAUUGGCAGGUUGAGAAGAAGACACAUAUGAAGGGUAACUUCUUUGGAAAGAAGCAGCUAUGCACAGUACUUAAGAAUGAAAUUUCCAUGUCCCGUUAAUACAUCUGAAACAGUUUUACUUUCUAUCCCAAACUUUAAUGAUCCUAGAAAGCUGGUUUGAAUCAGUUUUUACAGGGUUGUUUUGGAUUUAAAAUAACUAAAACUUGAGAGCUGGGAGAAAUUUUAUUUAACACUUUUUUAUCAUUCAUGGUUUAAUGUUUAAUGAAUAAAUUCUUCACUAAGCUUAUGUGGUGAGGGUCUGGUGGUGAAAAGUACUUUUUCAACUAGAUAUAUUAGAAUGACAACAGCAAAGCAAGAAUGUGGUAGGGUCACAUAAAGGAGUCGUGAUCUGUGGGAAAUUAUUUUUUAUGAUUCUCCAAGAUGGCUGUACAUAUAAGCAUAAAAGUCAAUAAACAAGUGCCUAACCUUUAGCUCUAAAUUAACUUUUGAGCGCUUUGAAUGCCUGGCACAAAAAUAUUUAGGGGUUUGGCGCCAUCUGGUGGCCAAAUAUCAACUUUUCAGCUUCUCUUUUAUGACUAAGAAGUGAAUUACUCUGCACUUUCCAAUAAACACUAUUAAUAAAUAAAAUUAUUUAAAAUGUUGAUUUCCAGAACUUGAGAAGACAAAUCAAAGACAGAUUUCUGUUAUGUUACCUAUUGUUAUAUGACAGAAUUUCAGUCUUGAGUAGGUUCUUUUAUACUUGCAUUUGAUUUAUUUAUGAAAGCAUUAUAGACAUAAAUCUGCUAUCUUUUUCUUAAUACAAGAGAAGACUCUUUCCCCAAAAGAAAUUAGACGUGCUCAAUAAAAUCUAAAUUUAUUUUUUCACAAUUCUGUAAAAGAUUGAGCUAGGGGUGCGUGUGUGUGUGUGAAUAUCAGAAUUUAUUUUAAAAAUGCAAGAGGGAGAGGGGAAGGAGCUGGUAGUGACAUUGUUAAUUGUCUGCUUUGCAAUAGCAAAGACUUGGAACCAACCCAAAUGUCCAUCAAUGAUAGACUGGAUUAAGAAAAUAUGGCACAUAUACACCAUGGAAUACUAUACAGCCAUAAAAAAGGAUGAGUUCAUGUCUUUUGUAGGGACAUGGAUGAAGCCGGAAACCAUCAUUCUGAGAAAACUAUCGCAAGGACAGAAAACCAAACACUACAUGCUCUCACUCAUAGGUGGGAAUUGAACAAUGAGAACACUUGGACACAGGGUGGGGAACAUCACACACCGGGGCCUGUCGUGGGGUGGGGGAAGGUGGGAGGGAUAGCAUUAGGAGAUACACCUAAUGUAAAUGAUGAGUUAAUGGGUGCAGCACACCAACAUGUGCUGUUGUACACGUGUACACAUGUAUACAUAUGUAACAA